RNAcentral lists this long non-coding RNA (1495 nucleotides) under Heterocephalus glaber (naked mole-rat). RNAcentral's name for it is "lncRNA (ENSHGLG00100050369.1)". The record is from RNAcentral. Lineage: Eukaryota; Metazoa; Chordata; Mammalia; Rodentia; Bathyergidae.
CACGUGGAGGUCACUGGCUAAAGGUCCAGUCCCCCAGGUCUUCAGUUGUGUUUUCACAGUCAGCUGUGUCUUUCCAAAGAACUACACUGUCUGGGCUUCUUAAGAAUGUGAUGGCUGUGCUUGAGGACAGUGGCCAGGGCCUUAUAGGCCCCACUGGUGCCCUGUCCCUUCCUGCCUUCCUGCAAUGCGGAGGCCAUUUAAUGUGCCCUAGGCACUCCUCCUUUAUCACAUAUCUCUGAGCACCAAAUGCCACCUUCAUUGUAUGCCAGGACCCAGGGCACAGAAGAGAACAAAACUGACAAAGCUCUGCCUUCUCAGUAUUUAUGGAGAGAACAAGACAAACAAUAACACAUAAAUACACAUGAUGUCAGGAAGUGUUUGGAACAGGCGAGGUGACAAGCAGCUCUUCAGUCCCAGGGCCAAGGGGCAGCUUUGCAGGGGAGGUUGAAUGAGUGAAGAUCUGAAGGAAGAUCCAGGACACCUGGAGGGGGAGCCAGGCAGGGGAUGGACAGCCCUGGCAAGGCCCUAGACAGAAGCCUCAUGUAGGGAUGACAAGAAGGACAAGUGUCAAGGCAGAGGGAGGGAUGGGCUGUCAGACCUAGUAGGACUUUGCUAAGUGGCAUGUUGUUUGGGGCUGUAGAGGCCUCUAAGCAAAGGAGGUCCCAGAACUGCUCCCAGCACACAGAGCCUCAUGUGUAGUGUUCUGUGAGGGCCACGUGACCGGAUGCUGCUGAUGGCUGUCGUCAGUUACCUGUCUGUCCCCCACUAGGCAGAGCUGUCCCAGGACACCUUUGACCACCUUGGCCAGGAACCCAGGCAGCUGACCCUUAGCAGAGUGAGAGUUUUACAGAUUCUUUUGGGAAGGGGGAUGAUACAGGAGAGAAUUGACUUACACAGCCACUGUCAAUGAGCAUUCAGCAGGAGGAGCGACCAGUGACCCUCUCUGAACCACCCUGAGUGAAUGCAGUGCAGGAACCCCAGCUGUGGGCCACAGCAAGGACACCUACUGGAAGUUUCCAGCUUGGAGGUGCUACAGAUACUCAGCCCGGGGCACUUGAGCUGCUCCUUAGACUUCUCAAUGUGUACAGCCCCCAGGGGUGCUGGUCAGAAUGUGAGACUCAGACUGUGGCAUUCAAGGCCACAGUGCUUGGAACAGAAGCCAAAUUUAAAUGCAUAGCAGGACCUAGUGUGGUUUGAUAUGCUUGGGGCAUGUGAAGGGGCUGUGACAUCUCCAGCCUUGGGGAGGAUUAGGUAAGAUGACAUCUUUGGCAGCCUUAAGGGGCUCUCCAUAGAUAUUUCUCCCUUUCUUCCUCUCUCUCACGGUCCAUAUGAAAUCUUCCAAUGGAACAAGGCUUCCUGCCCAGUAGAAAUAAAGAACAUUAAACUGAAGGUUGUGGUUUAAAAAAAUCCCAACUGAUCCCUGGAUGCUGAGGUCUCAGAGAAGUAUAGCUCCGACCCAUGCCCCUUGGGAGCCAGUGUCUACCAUCUCCCAGGC